Molecule: long non-coding RNA, 501 nt
Filed under: Cercocebus atys (sooty mangabey)
Lineage: Eukaryota; Metazoa; Chordata; Mammalia; Primates; Cercopithecidae
Description: lncRNA (ENSCATG00000045844.1)
Source: RNAcentral
UGGAUUGUAGCCUGGUCGUUCCAGAAAUGUAUUCCUUCAAAGGAAGUGGCAUAUAGGGAAGCAGGUGGGUGGCAGAAUAAUUGAUAUCUGGAGCUGGAAGAAGAAAACUGGUGUUAAGUAGUGACAAAACACUUGGAAGGAAUACCUCAACAUAUCUCUUCAGCCUGCAGCAUGGGGGAGAUGGGAAGGACUGGACCUUGGAAAAGAAUUCCUUGACUUUGAUGAUUACAAAUGAGACACAAGAGGAGAAUGUAUGCACAGAGCUCCCAAGAAGGAUAGAGGUUCUUCGACGUUUCUCUACAGUGCAGGAGGCUGAAGACAGAUUUUUCUCCUCAUGAAGGAAAAGUUCCCAGUGUUUGGGGCAUGGGGCGGCUUUGGUUAGGCUUCUUUUUUAUUUUUAAGCACAUGGAUUCCUGGUACAGGAUCCUAACCAGUUGAACUGCUAGAAAUUAUUAUAUUCUAUGUACAAGUUCACAGGGGUGAAAAGGAAAACAAGACCAU